Molecule: long non-coding RNA, 713 nt
Organism: Platichthys flesus (European flounder)
Lineage: Eukaryota; Metazoa; Chordata; Actinopteri; Pleuronectiformes; Pleuronectidae
Exons: 2
Source: RefSeq, a predicted model, not a curated record
UUUGGGCGGUUUGGAGAGAACGAAGGAGCCGUCCCUCGAGCACUCGACCACCGGGAAGCCCAUGUUGUCCCUGAGAGAGAAACAUGUGCAACUGUGAUGGAGAGAUAUAACUCAUCCUCGCGUUCCUUUGGAUGAUUUGAAGCCAGACUGACAAUCAUUCACCAAGGAGGUUGCUCUCAAUGGUGUUUGUCUGUUUGAUGGAACUUACAAAAACUACUGAACCUAUUUCGAUGUAAUUUUGAGGAGAUGUGGAACAUGACCCCAGCAUGAUCAGAAGAUUUUAUUCAUUUCUCCAGAUGUUUCUUCAUCUGCGUUUCAACCUUAACAUGGAGGAUCUGGGCUCGCUCUCACCAGUCAGGAACUUUGUGCCAGUCGGUGAAGAUCCCUCCUGUACUCUGAGCCCCACACUCGAUCAGCCUAAUCAAGCGUACGGUGUGCAUGAGCGGCCCCAGAGCCACCGCGCUGUCCACGCAGCGUCCCGUCACCACGAUGUCGGCCCCGAGAUCCAGACAGCGCCGGAUCGGACCAGCUCUGAAGACAAAGAGAGUGAGAGAGAGUGAGAGAGAGAGAGAGAGAGAGGGUGAGAGAGAGAGAGAGAGAGAGAGGGUGAGAGAGAGAGAGAGAGAGAGAGAGAGCGCACCCUCAUGUGACAUGUGUCAGUGAGGACGCAGCCUGAUCUCUGACCAGUGAUCUUGAAUAAAGCUCCGAUCAGA